Long non-coding RNA from Panicum virgatum (switchgrass), 1923 nucleotides. RefSeq lists it as uncharacterized. The record is from RefSeq and is a predicted model, not a curated record. NCBI's taxonomy places the organism in Eukaryota, Viridiplantae, Streptophyta, Magnoliopsida, Poales, Poaceae. The transcript has 3 exons.
GAUUGGUUAUAGCUCUAGCCUAUAGCAGACGUUUGGAAUGCCAGGUCAAACCGUCAAGCUUACAGUGCAUGAUAAUAAUUUGGCUACGCUAUUCAGUUUUGUUGUUAUAUUUACCUGACUUUGUCUGUAAUGUUCAGGGCUUAAACUGAACCGGACACUAAUAUUGUUGAUCACGGAACAAUUUCUUUGAGCCAACAAGUAUUUCAUGUGUGAAUGCUUCACGCCUUUGUUUAAUUCAGAUUCCUUUGUUGGUAGUGUUGUCUACCAUAACUACAAUUUGGUUUAUCUAAAUGGUCAAUUCCUGAUUGUUUUAGUAUCAAUUGGCUCCAAACCAUUUAGCAUUAUUUGGCAGCCAGGAAGUAGAUUCUCACAACCCUGAUGGACACGGCCACUAAGCAUCAUAGCCACCAUGAAGAAGCAGUUGGGGACAAAACUGGAAGGAGAUGCUAAGUAGACUAGGAUGUUUGAACUUUAAUGACAGGAUCUCUAUAGGUAACUUGCUUGCAUAUGUGGAAGCCUCUGUGUUAACAAUUUGUUCGGCAAUAUGCCAAUGUAUGCGAUGUGCUCAUCUUUAGUUGGCAAACACGGACAUUUGCUUUGAAAAAAUAGUGCAAUUAGUUUAUUAGGAUUGACAACACUGUGGCUAGAUAGUCCAACUGGAACAUGUAGUAGCACUUGACAUGCAUAAUAAAAUACAAAUGCAUAAACUGUUGUGCAACUGACUAGCUUAUAUGGUCUGGGAGUCUAAAUUUACUCCAGAUCAAUGCACAUGCUUUUAUUCAGGGCAUGUGUUCAAAAUGUAAAACCAGUGAGGCCUUAAAUUGUACAUGUAUUAUACAUAUUGUUAUAAGACAUUAGUAAUCUAGAGUAGGAUGUUAACCUUGUUGUUCCCAUCUGUAACAUAUAUAAAGUUGACCAUAGUUCAAAAAAACCUUAUGGCUUACGUUUGGUCAAGUUCUACUAAUCCAAGUUCGAUAUGUACAUUGUUUUGUAUUUUCUACAGUUUUAUGGUGUAUGUUUGGUGAAGAGGAGAUCCAGGAAGGCUUGGAUCUGGAGGCUGAAUUUUUGCUAUGAUUAUACAAGAAAGGUACUCAGGACUAAACCCGCAGGGUACCUGACAACUAAUUGAUUUGUUCAUGGUGCACUAUGCAUAGGAAGCUCAUAUUUAUCUUAUACAAUACUAUAUAGUUUUAAGCUAUUCGAAAAUGUGCUUCUUUGUUUCUCUGCACUAUUCAGUUAGCCCCUAUAUGUUAAAACUGAAUUUGUUCCUCUUUAUUAUUCAGUUAGCAUUGCUCUGGCAUUAUGUGAAAUCCAGUGACUUUGUCUAUUAAUUUUUUCCUCUUCCAGAAUAUUUCUAUGGUAUUGGAAAACUUUGGUAAUAACAUCAUAUUUUUCAAAGGACUUCUUGAUCCGCUGAGUGCUUGAGGUGUUCUGAUAUAAGUGUCAUUGCUACUGAGUUCCGACAUUUGAAGAUGCCAAGAAGGAUAAAUUAACGAUUUUGAAGCUAUGGUACUUAUUGUGAAUGGUGGAAACGACACUGAUUGAUGACAUCAUUGGGGAUCCCAUGGCAUUGGACAGGGCUAAACAAGCAGUGGCAGCAACAAUGGAAAAGGUUGGAGGCGGCGUUCAUGGAGGAAAAAGGCAGCGGCCAACGCAUCAAGGAGUGGCAAUCAUAAAGUCAAGAUUCUAUUGAUCAUUGUCAUUUGCAAGUUAUUUUAGAACAUGGUAAUAGAAUGUAGAGCGUGUGGAACCUCUUUCUCUGGUAUACUAGCUUUGUGUAUAACAAGAAUAGAGUAGGAUGGAUAUAUAUGUGUGCAUUUAAAUUUUUGUGAUGUUUGGAGGAUGAAUAUAUGUAUGUGUACAUUUAAACUUUUUUGACAUUUGAACCUUGCAUACGACAACAUCCAAGUUUGUAUUAUUUUA